GGGAGGAGCAACAGGGAUUGCCCUAGUAACGGCGAGUGAAGCGGCAACAGCUCAAAUUUGAAAUCUGGCUCUUUCAGAGUCCGAGUUGUAAUUUGCAGAGGGCGCUUUGGUGUUGGCAGCGGUCCAAGUUCUUUGGAACAGGACGUCACAGAGGGUGAGAAUCCCGUACGUGGUCGCUAGCCCUCACCGUGUAAAGCCCCUUCGACGAGUCGAGUUGUUUGGGAAUGCAGCUCUAAAUGGGAGGUAAAUUUCUUCUAAAGCUAAAUACUGGCCAGAGACCGAUAGCGCACAAGUAGAGUGAUCGAAAGAUGAAAAGCACUUUGGAAAGAGAGUCAAAUAGCACGUGAAAUUGUUGAAAGGGAAGCGCUUGCAGCCAGACUUGCCUGUAGUUGCUUAUCCGGACUUUUGUCCGGUGCACUCUUCUGCGGGCAGGCCAGCAUCAGUUUGGGCGGUUGGAUAAAGGUCUCUGUCAUGUACCUCCUUUCGGGGAGGCCUUAUAGGGGAGACGACAUGCAACCAGCCUGGACUGAGGUCCGCGCAUCUGCUAGGAUGCUGGCGUAAUGGCUGUAAGCGGCCCGUCUUGAAACACGGACCAAGGAGUCUAACAUCUAUGCGAGUGUUUGGGUGUCAAGCCCAGACGCGUAAUGAAAGUGAACGGAGGUGGGAACCCUUUGGGUGCACCAUCGACCGAUCCUGAUGUCUUCGGAUGGAUUUGAGUAAGAGCAUGGCUGUUGGGACCCGAAAGAUGGUGAACUAUGCUUGAAUAGGGUGAAGCCAGAGGAAACUCUGGUGGAGGCUCGCAGCGGUUCUGACGUGCAAAUCGAUCGUC
RNAcentral lists this ribosomal RNA (829 nucleotides) under Phaeosphaeriopsis sp. Its description in RNAcentral is "eukaryotic LSU rRNA". It matches the Rfam family "Eukaryotic large subunit ribosomal RNA", at positions 51 to 906 of the family's 3401-position model. Lineage: Eukaryota; Fungi; Ascomycota; Dothideomycetes; Pleosporales; Phaeosphaeriaceae. The record is from RNAcentral.